RNAcentral lists this ribosomal RNA (490 nucleotides) under uncultured bacterium. Its description in RNAcentral is "partial 16S ribosomal RNA". It matches the Rfam family "Bacterial small subunit ribosomal RNA", at positions 28 to 507 of the family's 1533-position model. The record is from RNAcentral.
GAUGAACGCUAGCGAUAGGCUUAACACAUGCAAGUCGAGGGGCAGCAUGGUCUUAGCUUGCUAAGGCUGAUGGCGACCGGCGCACGGGUGCGUAACGCGUAUGCAACUUGCCUCACAGAGGGGGAUAACCCGUCGAAAGACGGACUAAUACCGCGUACACUCUAUGUUGGGCAUCCAAUGUAGAGGAAAUGAAAUUCGCUGUGAGAUAGGCAUGCGUCCCAUUAGCUAGUUGGUGAGGUAACGGCUCACCAAGGCGACGAUGGGUAGGGGAACUGAGAGGGUGAACCCCCACACUGGUACUGAGACACGGACCAGACUCCUACGGGAGGCAGCAGUGUGGAAUAUUGGUCAAUGGGCGAGAGCCUGAACCAGCCAAGUCGCGUGAAGGAUGACUGUCUUAUGGAUUGUAAGCUUCUUUUAUACGGGAAUAACAAGAGUCACGUGUGGCUCCCUGCAUGUACCGUAUGAAUAAGCAUCGGCUAACUCCGUG